UUGAUUUAUUUGCUUGUGCCACUCAGAUAAUACAUGUAAUACACAAUGGUUUUUGGCCUCCGGCGGGCGCCUGGUCCGGGCACGAGGGCACCGGGGCGUAUCCGCCGAAGCAACGACUGGUAAGUUCACAGGGGUUUGGGAGUUGUAAACUCGGUAAUGAUCCCUCCGCUGGUUCACCAACGGAGA
Molecule: unclassified non-coding RNA, 186 nt
Filed under: uncultured fungus
Lineage: Eukaryota; Fungi
Description: sequence contains ITS1
Source: RNAcentral